AAGCCAUUAUGUGGGCAAUCUCUUACCAGCCUCUUUGAACUCGCCCAAGCGUUACUAAGCGAUUCGUCAAUAUCCUGUUCAAAAUUAGUGAUCAACUUCCUGCACAU
Molecule: small nucleolar RNA, 107 nt
Organism: Benincasa hispida (wax gourd)
Lineage: Eukaryota; Viridiplantae; Streptophyta; Magnoliopsida; Cucurbitales; Cucurbitaceae
Source: RefSeq, a predicted model, not a curated record